GAGUUUGAUCCUGGCUCAGGGCGAACGCUGGCGGCGUGCCUAAUACAUGCAAGUCGAACGAACUCUGGUAUUGAUUGGUGCUUGCAUCAUGAUUUACAUUUGAGUGAGUGGCGAACUGGUGAGUAACACGUGGGAAACCUGCCCAGAAGCGGGGGAUAACACCUGGAAACAGAUGCUAAUACCGCAUAACAACUUGGACCGCAUGGUCCGAGCUUGAAAGAUGGCUUCGGCUAUCACUUUUGGAUGGUCCCGCGGCGUAUUAGCUAGAUGGUGGGGUAACGGCUCACCAUGGCAAUGAUACGUAGCCGACCUGAGAGGGUAAUCGGCCACAUUGGGACUGAGACACGGCCCAAACUCCUACGGGAGGCAGCAGUAGGGAAUCUUCCACAAUGGACGAAAGUCUGAUGGAGCAACGCCGCGUGAGUGAAGAAGGGUUUCGGCUCGUAAAACUCUGUUGUUAAAGAAGAACAUAUCUGAGAGUAACUGUUCAGGUAUUGACGGUAUUUAACCAGAAAGCCACGGCUAACUACGUGCCAGCAGCCGCGGUAAUACGUAGGUGGCAAGCGUUGUCCGGAUUUAUUGGGCGUAAAGCGAGCGCAGGCGGUUUUUUAAGUCUGAUGUGAAAGCCUUCGGCUCAACCGAAGAAGUGCAUCGGAAACUGGGAAACUUGAGUGCAGAAGAGGACAGUGGAACUCCAUGUGUAGCGGUGAAAUGCGUAGAUAUAUGGAAGAACACCAGUGGCGAAGGCGGCUGUCUGGUCUGUAACUGACGCUGAGGCUCGAAAGUAUGGGUAGCAAACAGGAUUAGAUACCCUGGUAGUCCAUACCGUAAACGAUGAAUGCUAAGUGUUGGAGGGUUUCCGCCCUUCAGUGCUGCAGCUAACGCAUUAAGCAUUCCGCCUGGGGAGUACGGCCGCAAGGCUGAAACUCAAAGGAAUUGACGGGGGCCCGCACAAGCGGUGGAGCAUGUGGUUUAAUUCGAAGCUACGCGAAGAACCUUACCAGGUCUUGACAUACUAUGCAAAUCUAAGAGAUUAGACGUUCCCUUCGGGGACAUGGAUACAGGUGGUGCAUGGUUGUCGUCAGCUCGUGUCGUGAGAUGUUGGGUUAAGUCCCGCAACGAGCGCAACCCUUAUUAUCAGUUGCCAGCAUUAAGUUGGGCACUCUGGUGAGACUGCCGGUGACAAACCGGAGGAAGGUGGGGAUGACGUCAAAUCAUCAUGCCCCUUAUGACCUGGGCUACACACGUGCUACAAUGGAUGGUACAACGAGUUGCGAACUCGCGAGAGUAAGCUAAUCUCUUAAAGCCAUUCUCAGUUCGGAUUGUAGGCUGCAACUCGCCUACAUGAAGUCGGAAUCGCUAGUAAUCGCGGAUCAGCAUGCCGCGGUGAAUACGUUCCCGGGCCUUGUACACACCGCCCGUCACACCAUGAGAGUUUGUAACACCCAAAGUCGGUGGGGUAACCUUUUAGGAACCAGCCGCCUAAGGUGGGACAGAUGAUUAGGGUG
Molecule: ribosomal RNA, 1508 nt
Filed under: Lactiplantibacillus argentoratensis
Lineage: Bacteria; Bacillati; Bacillota; Bacilli; Lactobacillales; Lactobacillaceae
Description: partial 16S ribosomal RNA
Rfam family: Bacterial small subunit ribosomal RNA
Source: RNAcentral